GGGAGAUAGCUUAGUAGAUCAGAGCACUUGCUAUGAAAGCAAGAAGACCUGAGUUCAAAUCCCCAGCACCCA
This 72-nucleotide transfer RNA is filed under the name Neotoma lepida (desert woodrat). It matches the Rfam family "tRNA". From Rfam's summary of the family: Transfer RNA (tRNA) molecules are approximately 80 nucleotides in length. Their secondary structure includes four short double-helical elements and three loops (D, anti-codon, and T loops). Further hydrogen bonds mediate the characteristic L-shaped molecular structure. tRNAs have two regions of fundamental functional importance: the anti-codon, which is responsible for specific mRNA codon recognition, and the 3' end, to which the tRNAs corresponding amino acid is attached (by aminoacyl-tRNA synthetases). tRNAs cope with the degeneracy of the genetic code in two manners: having more than one tRNA (with a specific anti-codon) for a particular amino acid; and 'wobble' base-pairing, i.e. permitting non-standard base-pairing at the 3rd anti-codon position. The record is from Rfam by way of RNAcentral. Lineage: Eukaryota; Metazoa; Chordata; Mammalia; Rodentia; Cricetidae.